AUUGAACGCUGGCGGCAGGCCUAACACAUGCAAGUCGAGCGGAUGAAGGGAGCUUGCUCCUGGAUUCAGCGGCGGACGGGUGAGUAAUGCCUAGGAAUCUGCCUGGUAGUGGGGGAUAACGUCCGGAAACGGGCGCUAAUACCGCAUACGUCCUGAGGGAGAAAGUGGGGGAUCUUCGGACCUCACGCUAUCAGAUGAGCCUAGGUCGGAUUAGCUAGUUGGUGGGGUAAGGCCUACCAAGGCGACGAUCCGUAACUGGUCUGAGAGGAUGAUCAAUCACACUGGAACUGAGACACGGUCCAGACUCCUACGGGAGGCAGCAGUGGGGAAUAUUGGACAAUGGGCGAAAGCCUGAUCCAGCCAUGCCGCGUGUGUGAAGAAGGUCUUCGGAUUGUAAAGCACUUUAAGUUGGGAGGAAGGGCAGUAAGUUAAUACCUUGCUGUUUUGACGUUACCAACAGAAUAAGCACCGGCUAACUUCGUG
RNAcentral lists this ribosomal RNA (483 nucleotides) under uncultured bacterium. Its description in RNAcentral is "partial 16S ribosomal RNA". It matches the Rfam family "Bacterial small subunit ribosomal RNA", at positions 30 to 507 of the family's 1533-position model. The record is from RNAcentral.